GGUCGAAUGGUGUAGUGGUUAUCACGUCUGCUUCACAUCAAGUUCGCAGAAGGCCCCGGGUUCGACCCCCGGUUCGACCU
Non-coding RNA from Fusarium ambrosium, 80 nucleotides. NCBI's taxonomy places the organism in Eukaryota, Fungi, Ascomycota, Sordariomycetes, Hypocreales, Nectriaceae. The record is from the annotation of a GenBank genome assembly.